UGAGGAAUAUUGGUCAAUGGAGGAAACUCUGAACCAGCCAUGCCGCGUGCAGGAUGACGGCCCUACGGGUUGUAAACUGCUUUUAUAUAGGAAGAAACCUCUUUACGUGUAGAGAGCUGACGGUACUAUAUGAAUAAGGAUCGGCUAACUCCGUGCCAGCAGCCGCGGUAAUACGGAGGAUCCAAGCGUUAUCCGGAAUCAUUGGGUUUAAAGGGUGCGUAGGCGGAAUAAUAAGUCAGAGGUGAAAUCCUGCAGCUCAACUGUAGAACUGCCUUUGAUACUGUUAUUCUUGAAUCUAGUUGAAGUAGGCGGAAUGUAACAUGUAGCGGUGAAAUGCAUAGAGAUGUUAC
This 350-nucleotide ribosomal RNA is filed under the name uncultured bacterium. Its description in RNAcentral is "bacterial SSU rRNA". It matches the Rfam family "Bacterial small subunit ribosomal RNA", at positions 355 to 702 of the family's 1533-position model. The record is from RNAcentral.